This 856-nucleotide ribosomal RNA is filed under the name Rhytidhysteron thailandicum. Its description in RNAcentral is "partial large subunit ribosomal RNA". It matches the Rfam family "Eukaryotic large subunit ribosomal RNA", at positions 65 to 940 of the family's 3401-position model. The record is from RNAcentral. Lineage: Eukaryota; Fungi; Ascomycota; Dothideomycetes; Hysteriales; Hysteriaceae.
CCAACAGGGAUUGCCUCAGUAACGGCGAGUGAAGCGGCAACAGCUCAAAUUUGAAAUCUGGCCUCCUUGGGGGUCCGAGUUGUAAUUUGUAGAGGAUGCUUCGGCGUGGGCCCCGGUCUAAGUUCCUUGGAACAGGACGUCACAGAGGGUGAGAAUCCCGUACGUGGCCGUGGGUGCUCGCCAUGUGAAGCUCCUUCGACGAGUCGAGUUGUUUGGGAAUGCAGCUCUAAAUGGGAGGUAUAUUUCUUCUAAAGCUAAAUAUUGGCCAGAGACCGAUAGCGCACAAGUAGAGUGAUCGAAAGAUGAAAAGCACUUUGGAAAGAGAGUCAAAAAGUACGUGAAAUUGUUGAAAGGGAAGCGCUUGCAACCAGACCUGUCUGCAGUUGCUCAUCCGGGCUUCUGCCCGGUGCACUCUUCUGCAGUCAGGCCAGCAUCAGUUCUGGCGGUCGGAUAAAGGCGGUGGGAAUGUGGCUCCUCUCGGGGAGUGUUAUAGCCCAUCGUGCAAUGCGGCCAGCUGGGACUGAGGUCCGCGCUUCGGCUAGGAUGCUGGCGUAAUGGUUGUAAGCGGCCCGUCUUGAAACACGGACCAAGGAGUCUAACAUCUGUGCGAGUGUUUGGGUGUCAAGCCCAGGCGCGUAAUGAAAGUGAACGGAGGCGGGAACCUUCGGGUGCACCGUCGACCGAUCCUGAUGUCUUCGGAUGGAUUUGAGUAAGAGCAUAGCUGUUGGGACCCGAAAGAUGGUGAACUAUGCCUGAAUAGGGUGAAGCCAGAGGAAACUCUGGUGGAGGCUCGCAGCGGUUCUGACGUGCAAAUCGAUCGUCAAAUUUGGGCAUAGGGGCGAAAGACUAAUCGAAC